GAUGAACGCUAGCGGCAGGCCUAAUACAUGCAAGUCAAGGGGCUCGGUAACGGGCACCGGCGGACGGGUGCGUAACGCGUACACAACGUACCUUUGAGCGGGGGAUAGCAUUGGGAAACUGGUGGUAAGACCCCAUUGUGUUGAGAGGUGGCAUCAUUUUUCAACUAAAGGUUACACUCAAAGAUCGGUGUGCGUCCGAUUAGCUAGUUGGCGGGGUAACGGCCCACCAAGGCGACGAUCGGUAGGGGGUGUGAGAGCAUGACCCCCCACAUGGGUACUGAGACACGGACCCAACUCCUACGGGAGGCAGCAGUAAGGAAUAUUGGACAAUGGUCGGAAGACUGAUCCAGCCAUGCCGCGUGAAGGACGAAGGCGCUCAGCGUUGUAAACUUCUUUUGGAUGGGGAUAAUACCCUCGAUUUAUCGGGGCUUGAAGGUACCAUCAGAAUAAGCACCGGCUAACUCCGUG
This 468-nucleotide ribosomal RNA is filed under the name uncultured bacterium. RNAcentral describes it as "bacterial SSU rRNA". It matches the Rfam family "Bacterial small subunit ribosomal RNA", at positions 28 to 507 of the family's 1533-position model. The record is from RNAcentral.